CCUACGGGAGGCAGCAGUAGGGAAUAUUGGGCAAUGGAGGAAACUCUGACCCAGCCAUGCCGCGUGCAGGAUGACGGCCCUCUGGGUUGUAAACUGCUUUUAUACGGGAAGAAAAAAUGCUACGUGUAGCACAUUGACGGUACCGUAAGAAUAAGGAUCGGCUAACUCCGUGCCAGCAGCCGCGGUAAUACGGAGGAUCCAAGCGUUGUCCGGAUUUAUUGGGUUUAAAGGGUGCGUAGGCGGAUCUUUAAGUCAGUGGUGAAAGCCUGCAGCUCAACUGUAGAACAGCCAUUGAAACUGAAGAUCUUGAAUAUGGUUAAAGUAGGCGGAAUGUAUCAUGUAGCGGUGAAAUGCUUAGAUAUGAUACAGAACACCGAUAGCGAAGGCAGCUUGCUGAACCAUUAUUGACGCUGAGGCACGAAAGCGUGGGGAGCAAACAGGAUUAGAUACCCUGGUAGUCCACGCCCUAAACGUUGAUUACUCGUUGUUGGCGAUAUACUGUCAGCGACUAAGCUAAAGCGUUAAAGUAAUCCACCGUGGGAAGUACGACCGCGAAGGUUGAAACUUAAAGGAAUUGACGG
RNAcentral lists this ribosomal RNA (581 nucleotides) under uncultured bacterium. Its description in RNAcentral is "bacterial SSU rRNA". It matches the Rfam family "Bacterial small subunit ribosomal RNA", at positions 338 to 916 of the family's 1533-position model. The record is from RNAcentral.